RNAcentral lists this ribosomal RNA (464 nucleotides) under uncultured bacterium. RNAcentral describes it as "bacterial SSU rRNA". It matches the Rfam family "Bacterial small subunit ribosomal RNA", at positions 330 to 792 of the family's 1533-position model. The record is from RNAcentral.
CCCAGACUCCUACGGGAGGCAGCAGUGAGGAAUAUUGGUCAAUGGGCGCGAGCCUGAACCAGCCAAGUCGCGUGAGGGAAGACGGCCCUACGGGUUGUAAACCUCUUUUGUCGGGGAGCAAAGCGAGUCACGUGUGACUCAUUGAGAGUACCCGAAGAAAAAGCAUCGGCUAACUCCGUGCCAGCAGCCGCGGUAAUACGGAGGAUGCGAGCGUUAUCCGGAUUUAUUGGGUUUAAAGGGUGCGCAGGCGGAGGUGCAAGUCAGCGGUCAAAUUGCGGGGCUCAACCCCGUACUGCCGUUGAAACUGCAGCCCUUGAGUGCGCGAGAAGUAUGCGGAAUGCGUGGUGUAGCGGUGAAAUGCAUAGAUAUCACGCAGAACUCCGAUUGCGAAGGCAGCAUACCGGCGCGCAACUGACGCUCAUGCACGAAAGCGUGGGUAUCGAACAGGAUUAGAUACCCCCGUA